UGCAGGAUAGACGAUUGGCAAGUCACCUUGACUCUGAAUCAAGGAGAGGUUGGUUCGACCCCAACUCCUGCAUCCA
Molecule: transfer RNA, 76 nt
Filed under: Nostoc sp. CMAA1605
Lineage: Bacteria; Bacillati; Cyanobacteriota; Cyanophyceae; Nostocales; Nostocaceae
Description: tRNA-Gln
Rfam family: tRNA
About the family: Transfer RNA (tRNA) molecules are approximately 80 nucleotides in length. Their secondary structure includes four short double-helical elements and three loops (D, anti-codon, and T loops).
Source: RNAcentral